This 402-nucleotide ribosomal RNA is filed under the name uncultured prokaryote. RNAcentral describes it as "bacterial SSU rRNA". It matches the Rfam family "Bacterial small subunit ribosomal RNA", at positions 355 to 774 of the family's 1533-position model. The record is from RNAcentral.
UGGGGAAUAUUGCACAAUGGACGAAAGUCUGAUGCAGCAACGCCGCGUGGAGGAUGACACAUUUCGGUGCGUAAACUCCUUUUAUAUAGGAAGAUAAUGACGGUACUAUAUGAAUAAGCACUGACUAACUCCGUGCCAGCAGCCGCGGUAAUACGGAGGGUGCAAGCGUUACUCGGAAUCACUGGGCGUAAAGAGCGUGUAGGCGGGUAUAUAAGCCAGAAGUGAAAUCCAAUAGCUUAACUAUUGAACUGCUUUUGAAACUGUGUACCUAGAAUGUGGGAGAGGUAGAUGGAAUUUCUGGCGUAGGGGUAAAAUCCGUAGAGAUCAGAAGGAAUACCGAUUGCGAAGGCGAAUUACUGGAACAGUAUUGACGCUGAGACGCGAAAGCGUGGGGAGCAAACA